This 253-nucleotide ribosomal RNA is filed under the name uncultured bacterium. Its description in RNAcentral is "partial 16S ribosomal RNA". It matches the Rfam family "Bacterial small subunit ribosomal RNA", at positions 524 to 776 of the family's 1533-position model. The record is from RNAcentral.
UACGUAGGGUGCAAGCGUUGUCCGGAAUUAUUGGGCGUAAAGGGCUCGUAGGCGGUCUGUCACGUCGGGAGUGAAAACUCGGGGCUUAACCCCGAGCCUGCUUCCGAUACGGGCAGACUAGAGGUAUGCAGGGGAGAAUGGAAUUCCUGGUGUAGCGGUGAAAUGCGCAGAUAUCAGGAGGAACACCGAUGGCGAAGGCAGGUCACUGGGCCGCAACUGACGCUGAGGAGCGAAAGCAUGGGGAGCGAACAGG